GCUCCUGUAGUCUAGUCCGGUUUAGGACUCGGCCCUCUCGAGGCCGAAACCCGGGUUCAAAUCCCGGCGGGAGCA
This 75-nucleotide transfer RNA is filed under the name Candidatus Woesearchaeota archaeon. RNAcentral describes it as "tRNA-Glu". It matches the Rfam family "tRNA". Rfam says of the family: Transfer RNA (tRNA) molecules are approximately 80 nucleotides in length. Their secondary structure includes four short double-helical elements and three loops (D, anti-codon, and T loops). The record is from RNAcentral. Lineage: Archaea; Nanobdellati; Candidatus Woesearchaeota.